GCAGCCUGAUCCAGCCAUACCGCGUGGGUGAAGAAGGCCUUCGGGUUGUAAAGCCCUUUUGUUGGGAAAGAAAAGCAGUCGAUUAAUACUCGGUUGUUCUGACGGUACCCAAAGAAUAAGCACCGGCUAACUUCGUGCCAGCAGCCGCGGUAAUACGAAGGGUGCAAGCGUUACUCGGAAUUACUGGGCGUAAAGCGUGCGUAGGUGGUUGUUUAAGUCUGUUGUGAAAGCCCUGGGCUCAACCUGGGAAUUGCAGUGGAUACUGGGCGACUAGAGUGUGGUAGAGGGUAGUGGAAUUCCCGGUGUAGCAGUGAAAUGCGUAGAGAUCGGGAGGAACAUCCAUGGCGAAGGCAGCUACCUGGACCAACACUGACACUGAGGCACGAAAGCGUGGGGAGCAAACAGGAUUAGAUACCCUGGUAGUCCACGCCCUAAACGAUGCGAACUGGAUGUUGGGUGCAAUUUGGCACGCAGUAUCGAAGCUAACGCGUUAAGUUCGCCGCCUGGGGAGUACGGUCGCAAGACUGAAACUCAAAGGAAUUGACGGGGGCCCGCACAAGCGGUGGAGUAUGUGGUUUAAUUCGAUGCAACGCGAAGAACCUUACCUGGUCUUGACAUGUCGAGAACUUUCCAGA
Molecule: ribosomal RNA, 635 nt
Filed under: Stenotrophomonas sp. Ri2Pt_3957
Lineage: Bacteria; Pseudomonadati; Pseudomonadota; Gammaproteobacteria; Lysobacterales; Lysobacteraceae
Description: bacterial SSU rRNA
Rfam family: Bacterial small subunit ribosomal RNA
Source: RNAcentral